This 896-nucleotide ribosomal RNA is filed under the name marine metagenome. RNAcentral describes it as "bacterial SSU rRNA". It matches the Rfam family "Bacterial small subunit ribosomal RNA", at positions 8 to 921 of the family's 1533-position model. The record is from RNAcentral.
AGAGUUUGAUUCUGGCUCAGGACGAACGCUGGCGGUGCGCCUAAUGCAUGCAAGUCUACUACUUGUGACUUCGGUCACGCUAUGGUGGUGGCAGACGGCUUAGUAACACGUAAGUAAUCUACCCUCAAGUGGGGGAUAAUCCGAAGAAAUUCGGCCUAAUACCCCAUAAUGUUUUAGUAUAUAUGUAUUGAAAAGAAAGAUUUAUCGCUUUUGGAGGAGCUUGCGGCCUAUCAGGUAGUUGGUAAGGGUAAUGGCCUACCAAGCCAAAGACGGGUAACCGAAGUGAGAGCUUGAUCGGUAAGAGGGGGACUGAGACACGGCCCCCACUCCUACGGGAGGCAGCAGCAGGGAAUCUUGCGCAAUGGACUGUAUGGUCUGACGCAGCGACACCGCGUGGAGGAUGAAUGCUUUCGGGUUGUAAACUCCUUUUCUUAGGGAAGAUGAUGACGGUACCUAAGGAAUAAGCAUCGGCUAACUACGUGCCAGCAGCCGCGGUAAUACGUAGGAUGCGAGCGUUGUCCGGAAUUAUUGGGCGUAAAGGGCGUCUAGGUUGAUUAAUAAGUCCUGUGUGAAAUCUCUUGGCUUAACCAAGAAAUGUCACAGGAAACUAUUAAUCUAGAGGUCAUCAGAGGUAAGUGGAAUUCACGGAGUAGUGGUGAAAUGCGUAGAUACCGUGAGGAACACCAGAGGCGAAAGCGGCUUACUAGGAUGAACCUGACACUAAAGCGCGAAAGCGUGGGUAGCAAACCGGAUUAGAUACCCGGGUAGUCCACGCCAUAAACGAUGGAUACUAGUUAUAGGAGGCAUUGACCUUUCUGUAACGAAGCUAACGCAUUAAGUAUCCCGCCUGGGGAGUACGACCGCAAGGUUAAAACUCAAAGAAAUUGACGGGGGCC